UGGGGAAUUUUGGACAAUGGGCGAAAGCCUGAUCCAGCAAUGCCGCGUGCGUGAAAGAAGGCCUUCGGGUUGUAAAGCACUUUUUGUCCGGAAAGAAAAUCCUUGGCUCUAAUACAGUCGGGGGAUGACGGUACCGGAAGAAUAAGCACCGGCUAACUACGUGCCAGCAGCCGCGGUAAUACGUAGGGUGCAAGCGUUAAUCGGAAUUACUGGGCGUAAAGCGUGCGCAGGCGGUUUGCUAAGACCGAUGUGAAAUCCCCGGGCUCAACCUGGGAACUGCAUUGGUGACUGGCAGGCUAGAGUAUGGCAGAGGGGGGUAGAAUUCCACGUNUAGCAGUGAAAAUGCGUAGAGAUGUGGAGGAAUACCGAUGGCGAAAGGCAGCCCCCUGGGCCAAAUACUGACGCUCAUGCACGAAAAGCGUGGGGAGCAAAACAGGAUUAGAUACCCCUGGUAGUCCACGCCCUAAAACGAUGUCAACUAGUUGUUGGGGAUUCAUUUCCUUAGUAACGUAGCUAAACGCGUGAAGUUGACCGCCUGGGGGAGUACGGUCGCAAAGAUUAAAAACUC
RNAcentral lists this ribosomal RNA (568 nucleotides) under uncultured bacterium. RNAcentral's name for it is "partial 16S ribosomal RNA". It matches the Rfam family "Bacterial small subunit ribosomal RNA", at positions 355 to 902 of the family's 1533-position model. The record is from RNAcentral.